GAUGAACGCUAGCGGGAGGCCUAACACAUGCAAGCCGAGCGGUAGAGUUUCUUCGGAAACUUGAGAGCGGCGCACGGGUGCGUAACACGUGUGCAACCUACCUUUAUCUGGGGGAUAGCCUUUCGAAAGGAAGAUUAAUACCCCAUAAUAUAAUGAUUGGCAUCAAUUAUUAUUGAAAACUCCGGUGGAUAGAGAUGGGCACGCGCAAGAUUAGAUAGUUGGUGAGGUAACGGCUCACCAAGUCAAUGAUCUUUAGGGGUCCUGAGAGGGAGAUCCCCCACACUGGUACUGAGACACGGACCAGACUCCUACGGGAGGCAGCAGUGAGGAAUAUUGGACAAUGGGUGAGAGCCUGAUCCAGCCAUCCCGCGUGAAGGAUGACGGUCCUAUGGAUUGUAAACUUCUUUUGUACAGGGAUAAACCUACCCUCGUGAGGGUAGCUGAAGGUACUGUACGAAUAAGCACCGGCUAACUCCGG
This 478-nucleotide ribosomal RNA is filed under the name uncultured bacterium. RNAcentral describes it as "partial 16S ribosomal RNA". It matches the Rfam family "Bacterial small subunit ribosomal RNA", at positions 28 to 506 of the family's 1533-position model. The record is from RNAcentral.